GCCAUGGCGGCGAGCAGGGUUGGGCGUGGAGUGGGCGUCGGGGACCAUCCACCGCCAUCCUUCGUCGCUGGGGCUCCCCUGCUGCUCGGCUCCGCCGUAUGGGCGCCCUGGGGGCAUCGCGUCCGGCGGCCGCGCUUCAGUGCGCUUCGAAGGCUGCGAAGGGCAGCGCGGCCUUGCCACCGCCCUCCUCCUCAGGCCGGGCCAAGCCCGGGCAUCAUCCUGGUGUAGAAGGUGGUCCUGGGAUGGCUGGUGAUGGCCUCAACUUUGGGCAGAGGUCCUGGUUGUUCCAGAGCUCACCAAAUCUGAUGGAUAAACCCAGCAAUAACUGUGGAAAAAGAUGA
RNAcentral lists this long non-coding RNA (341 nucleotides) under Lonchura striata (white-rumped munia). Its description in RNAcentral is "domestica (Bengalese finch) lncRNA (ENSLSDG00000004971.1)". The record is from RNAcentral. Lineage: Eukaryota; Metazoa; Chordata; Aves; Passeriformes; Estrildidae.